RNAcentral lists this ribosomal RNA (250 nucleotides) under uncultured bacterium. RNAcentral describes it as "partial 16S ribosomal RNA". It matches the Rfam family "Bacterial small subunit ribosomal RNA", at positions 524 to 773 of the family's 1533-position model. The record is from RNAcentral.
CACGUAGGGCGCGAGCGUUGUCCGGAAUUAUUGGACGUAAAGAGCUCGUAGGCGGCCUGUUGCGUCCGCUGUGAAAGCCCGGGGCUUAACCCCGGGUCGGCAGUGGAUACGGGCAGGCUAGAGGUAGGUAGGGGAGAAUGGAAUUCCCGGUGUAGCGGUGAAAUGCGCAGAUAUCGGGAGGAACACCGGUGGCGAAGGCGGUUCUCUGGGCCUUACCUGACGCUGAGGAGCGAAAGCGUGGGGAGCGAAC